GACGUAGGGUGCGAGCGUUGUCCGGAUUUACUGGGCGUAAAGAGCGUGUAGGCGGCCAAACAGGUCCGUUGUGAAAACUGGAGGCUCAACUUCCAGACGUCGACGGAAACCGUGUGGCUAGAGUCCGGAAGAGGAGAGUGGAAUUCCUGGUGUAGCGGUGAAAUGCGCAGAUAUCAGGAAGAACACCAAUGGCGAAGGCAGCUCUCUGGGACGGUACUGACGCUGAGACGCGAAAGCGUGGGGAGCGAACAGG
RNAcentral lists this ribosomal RNA (253 nucleotides) under uncultured bacterium. RNAcentral describes it as "partial 16S ribosomal RNA". It matches the Rfam family "Bacterial small subunit ribosomal RNA", at positions 524 to 776 of the family's 1533-position model. The record is from RNAcentral.